UGACUCCGUAGCUCAGCUGGUAGAGCAGCUGACUCUUAAUCAGCGGGUCGAGAGUUCGAGUCUCUCCGGGUCAC
This 74-nucleotide transfer RNA is filed under the name Cytophagales bacterium WSM2-2. RNAcentral describes it as "tRNA-Lys". It matches the Rfam family "tRNA". From Rfam's summary of the family: Transfer RNA (tRNA) molecules are approximately 80 nucleotides in length. Their secondary structure includes four short double-helical elements and three loops (D, anti-codon, and T loops). The record is from RNAcentral. Lineage: Bacteria; Pseudomonadati; Bacteroidota; Cytophagia; Cytophagales.